AUUGAACGCUGGCGGCAGGCCUAACACAUGCAAGUCGAGCGGAGCGGCGGACGGGUGAGUACUGCCUAGGAAUCUGCCUGGUAGUGGGGGAUAACGUCCGGAAACGGGCGCUAAUACCGCAUAAUCACAAAUGAGCCUAGGUCGGCUUAGCUAGUUGGUGGGGUAAAGGCCUAACAAGGCGACGAUCCGUAACUGGUCGGAGAGGAUGAUAAGUGAUACGGGAACUGAGACACGGUCCAGACUCCUACAGGAGGCAGCAGUGGGGAGUAUUGGACAAUGGGCGAGAGACGAAUCCAGCAAUGCCGAGUGUUUGAAGAAGGUCUUCGGAUUGUAAAGCACUUAAAGUUGGGAGGCGUUACCAACAGAAUAAGCACCGGCUAACUUCGUGCCAGCCGCCGCGGUAAUAC
Molecule: ribosomal RNA, 407 nt
Filed under: uncultured bacterium
Lineage: Bacteria
Description: partial 16S ribosomal RNA
Rfam family: Bacterial small subunit ribosomal RNA
Source: RNAcentral